Molecule: ribosomal RNA, 279 nt
Filed under: uncultured bacterium
Lineage: Bacteria
Description: partial 16S ribosomal RNA
Rfam family: Bacterial small subunit ribosomal RNA
Source: RNAcentral
UGCCAGCCGCCGCGGUAAUACGGGGGGUGCAAGCGUUAAUCGGAAUUAUUGGGCGUAAAGCGCACGUAGGCGGAUUAGUUAGUCAGGGGUGAAAUCCCGGGGCCCAACCUCGGAACUGCCUUUGAUACUGCAAGUCUGGAGUCCGGAAGAGGUGGGUGGAAUUCCUAGUGUAGAGGUGAAAUUCGUAGAUAUUAGGAAGAACACCGGUGGCGAAGGCGGCCCACUGGUCCGGUACUGACGCUGAGGUGCGAAAGCGUGGGGAGCAAACAGGAUUAGAUA